UACGUAGGGGGCAAGCGUUGUCCGGAUUUAUUGGGCGUAAAGAGCGUGUAGGCGGCCAGACAGGUCCGCUGUGAAAACUCGAGGCUCAACCUCGAGAUGUCGGUGGAAACCGUCUGGCUAGAGUCCGGAAGAGGAGAGUGGAAUUCCCAGUGUAGAGGUGAAAUUCGUAGAUAUUGGGAAGAACACCGGUGGCGAAGGCGGCGCUCUGGACCGAGACUGACGCUGAGGCGCGAAAGCGUGGGGAGCAAACAGG
Molecule: ribosomal RNA, 253 nt
Filed under: uncultured bacterium
Lineage: Bacteria
Description: partial 16S ribosomal RNA
Rfam family: Bacterial small subunit ribosomal RNA
Source: RNAcentral